This 741-nucleotide long non-coding RNA is filed under the name Mytilus galloprovincialis (Mediterranean mussel). Lineage: Eukaryota; Metazoa; Mollusca; Bivalvia; Mytilida; Mytilidae. The record is from RNAcentral.
ACAGUUUCCAUUGUCGAUUACAAGAAACUACCGACUGAAAUCCUUCAAAUCGCACAGAUGUGUGACAAGCAUAACAGUAAAUACGAGUUUUUCUGUAAAAAGCACGAUUGUGUAUGUUGUAAAUGUUGUUUGAAAUAUCAUAAAAGUUGCAAAGGUGUAACAGACAUCAACAAAGUAACAAAAAACGUCAAAACUUCAAAUGCAUUUCAUGAAAUAGAUCAAUCUUUGCUUGAAGCUGUUGUGAAUAUCAAACGGAUAAGUUCUAACAGGGAAGAGAAUUUAACAUCGCUGGUAAACCAGAAAAGAGAAAUCGAAGAAGAAAUACAACAAACCAGAACCAAGAUAAAUAAUCACCUUGAUAAACUUCAGAAUGAUUUGAUGAAAGAAUUAAUGGCAACAGAACAAAAAGAAAGCAGCAAAAUACGAAAGUUGUUAACUACUUUAAAACAGAAGGAACAAAAGGUCGCAAAAUAUCAGACAAACUUAGCGAAUAUAAAUCAGUUUGCAUCGGAGCUUCACACAUUUUUGUCAAUGAAGCAUAUUCAAAAAGAUAUGACAAUCGAAGACGAGUUUAUUCAAUCGCUGUUCAAAAGUGACACCACGGAUCAAGUCAAUAUUUCAUGCAAUAUUAACAAGCCUUUACAACAAUUCACAGCCAUCGUUCAGAAGUUUGGUGAAAUUAAUGUUUCUUCCGAACUUUGUAAGGUGUCCAUUCAGAUACAGAAGCACAAACAAGCCCAG